CUGCGUAUAGCCAAGGAACCAUUUCUUAUUUUGGUUAAAUUGAUGUUAAAGUACUAAAAUAAAUUACAACCUUAAAAAGCUUUUUCAUUACUCGAAAUAAAAUGAACAUUAACCAAAAAAAACCCUUUUUCUUCCUCAGAAUGUGAGCAGGGCACGUUUGGUCUGAAGUGCUCUCGGUCAUGUGACUGUGCGGAGGACACCGCGUGUGACCCGGUGAGCGGCAGCUGUGUCUGUGCCUCAGGAAAGACGGGUGUCCGGUGUGACAGCGGUGAGUCCAGUAACACCACUGCACGUGAUGUUCAUGAUUAUAUGCGUGUGUAAUGCAUGCUGUUGUGUGUCAGACUGCAGUGUGACGCGGUUCGGACCUGACUGUGCGCUCAGCUGUGAGUGUGAGAACGGCGCUCAGUGCGACCGCAGAAACGGACGCUGCCUGUGUCUCAGCGGCUGGAUCGGCCUCACGUGCUCACAACGGGACCCUCCAGAGGUGGACUCCAGACAUCUAGAGGAGAAUCAGUCCCAGCUCGACACCUCAUAACGCUAACAUUCACACUGAGCAGCUGCAGCGGGACACAAACACACAGAUGCACUUUACUCUCCCCGACUGCUCCUCACAGCUCAGACUCGAUCCUUCAUCGCGCUUUCAGGGGAUUUUCAUAUUGUCUGUGUUUCAGUACUGUUGUCAGAUUCACUUUUGACUCAACAAGACAAAAAGUGCCUUUGGAUUUCAUAACACUCUUGUUUACGCCGCUGGAUUGUAGCUAAUACUAAAGGGUUAGUUCACCCAAAAAUUAAAAUUAGGCUGCGUUUUACUCUCCCCCGAUGCAUCCUAGUUGUAUAUGACUAUCUUCUUUCAGACGAAUCCAGUCGGAGUUAUAUUAAAAAUUGUCUUUGAUCUUUCAAGCUUUUUAAUGCCACUCAGCGCGUGUUGCAUGCAUCAGUCCAAAAGAACUUGAAUAAAAAUCGCCCAUCUAUAAAAUAAAAAAAAAGUGUCUCACACGGCUCCGGGGGGUGAACAAAG
This 1018-nucleotide long non-coding RNA is filed under the name Sinocyclocheilus grahami. Its description in RNAcentral is "lncRNA (ENSSGRG00000029447.1)". The record is from RNAcentral. Lineage: Eukaryota; Metazoa; Chordata; Actinopteri; Cypriniformes; Cyprinidae.